GAUGAACGCUGGCGGCGUGCCUAAUACAUGCAAGUCGAGCGAACAGACGAGGAGCUUGCUCCUCUGACGUUAGCGGCGGACGGGUGAGUAACACGUGGAUAACCUACCUAUAAGACUGGGAUAACUUCGGGAAACCGGAGCUAAUACCGGAUAAUAUAUUGAACCGCAUGGUUCAAUAGUGAAAGACGGUUUUGCUGUCACUUAUAGAUGGAUCCGCGCCGCAUUAGCUAGUUGGUAAGGUAACGGCUUACCAAGGCGACGAUGCGUAGCCGACCUGAGAGGGUGAUCGGCCACACUGGAACUGAGACACGGUCCAGACUCCUACGGGAGGCAGCAGUAGGGAAUCUUCCGCAAUGGGCGAAAGCCUGACGGAGCAACGCCGCGUGAGUGAUAAAGGUCUUCGGAUCGUAAAACUCUGUUAUUAGGGAAGAACAAAUGUGUAAGUAACUAUGCACGUCUUGACGGUACCUAAUCAGAAAGCCACGGCUAACUACGUG
This 497-nucleotide ribosomal RNA is filed under the name uncultured bacterium. RNAcentral's name for it is "partial 16S ribosomal RNA". It matches the Rfam family "Bacterial small subunit ribosomal RNA", at positions 28 to 507 of the family's 1533-position model. The record is from RNAcentral.